GAGGCAUCAGUCUUAAGCUAGGUGAUUAUAAUGUUUAUAGAAUCAGUGAUUACAGAACAUAAGUAAUUGAGACUAAUGAAGGCAUGAAGUAAUUCUAAAUAAACAAACGUGUUCUUGUCGUCUGUGGGAGAUGUCAGGCAUUCCUUGUGUGCAUGCUACAGCUUUUAUUUGUAGAUGAGAUGUGCAAAUUUGGAAAAUUAUGUCUCAGAGUACUUCACCGUUGCCAAGUAUAAGACUGCCUAUGCAUUAGAAAUUGGACCAUUACCUGACAAGGCCCAAUGGAUAAAAGUUGAUAUUGGAUACAAGAUAUUGCCUCCUAAGCUCAGUCUAAGAUCUCCAGAAAGGUCUAAAAAGAAGAGAAUUAGGGGUACAGAUGAGAAUACAUCGAAGAAGAUGCACAAAUGUAAGCGUUGCGGUGAGCUCGGGCAUCAUGCAAAGACCUGCAAAAAUCCAGUAAUGGAGGAAUCUCAAGCUUCAAUAUCCUCUUCUUCUGUACCGAAGAAGCUUGGGAGGUAACAUAUAGCACUACUCUAACUUAAUGAUGUUUAUCCUUUAUCACUUGCUUAUCAUUGAAAUAUUGCAGGCCUAAGGGAAUUGGUUCAAGAGGAAGAGUGUCAAUUACAGGAGACACACAUGCAGUGCAUAUAGCACCAACAGAAAAAAGAAACAAAGGACAACCCCGCAAGCAAGAUAAGAGAAUGGAAACUUUAGUUGGAGAAGAUAAUACCUACCCACAAUCUUGAUUGAUUUGAUCACAUGUUUUGCUGGAGUAGUGGAGAUUAUGUUGGAGAUUAAUAUCUCCACAAACUAUCUUAUUAAAUAUAUUUUUUCAGCCAACAUCUCUUUAACAAAAGAAUGUAAUUUAUCAAGAUUCCCAUGUUACACAUAAUCCUUUCAUUCCUUAUCUCUGGUUUCUCACAAAUAGUGCAACAUUCUUUUGUUAAUGAUGUUU
Phoenix dactylifera (date palm) is the source of this 952-nucleotide non-coding RNA. NCBI's taxonomy places the organism in Eukaryota, Viridiplantae, Streptophyta, Magnoliopsida, Arecales, Arecaceae. The record is from RefSeq and is a predicted model, not a curated record.